This 288-nucleotide ribosomal RNA is filed under the name uncultured bacterium. Its description in RNAcentral is "partial 16S ribosomal RNA". The stretch from base 51 to 288 matches the Rfam family "Bacterial small subunit ribosomal RNA", at positions 562 to 793 of the family's 1533-position model. The record is from RNAcentral.
UACGGGUAGGGGGACAAGGUCGUUACGUACCGGAAUCACGUGGGACGGUAAAGGGGUGCGGUAGGGCGGUCUUAGACAACGCCGAGGGGUGAAAAGGCAUUGGCUCAACCAAUGUAAGCCUUUGGAACUGUUAAGCUUGAGUGCAGGAGAGGUAAGUGGAAUUCCUAGUGUAGAGGUGAAAUUCGUAGAUAUUAGGAGGAACACCAGUGGCGAAGGCGACUUACUGGACUGUAACUGACGCUGAUGCACGAAAGCGUGGGUAGCGAACAGGAUUAGAUACCCUGGUAG